This is a long non-coding RNA of Siniperca chuatsi (mandarin fish), 2382 nucleotides long. RefSeq lists it as uncharacterized. Lineage: Eukaryota; Metazoa; Chordata; Actinopteri; Centrarchiformes; Sinipercidae. The record is from RefSeq and is a predicted model, not a curated record. The transcript is spliced from 3 exons.
GAAAGUGAACUCUUUAAAUGUGGUCGUGUAAAAACAGUUGAAGGAAACAAACUGUACGAAAGUUGUCUUUAGAAAGUCAUACUAUUUUCUGAUCUAACUUUCAUUGACAACAUACAGUAAUUUUCUCUGUUCUCACAUUCUCAAGUUUGUGUUAAGAAGAUGAAAAAGAAAAAGACCCUGACAUGAAACGGAGAGGACUGUGAAUUGCAGAUGCUGAGGCUGUUUACUUCCUUUGGCUGUCAGUCAUUGUAAUCCGAUAAUAACACCAACAGAGUCACGCUGUCAGAAUUAUUCAGCCGAGUCAGCUUCAGCUCUGCCAAAGUCCCAUUUACUCAUGAAGAGAUUUGAAGGCCGUGAAAUCUGGUUUAGACAUUCAUUGUCCACAGAGGAUGGAUCCUAAUGACUUUGGUGAUCCUCUGACUUGUCAUCUAGUGCCACCAAAAGGUCAAAAUAUAAGCUUGUUGAAAAUUUCAUGACAGGAUGCAAGUCAAUUCAAUGUUAUUUAUGUAGUCCAGAAUCACAAAUAUACUUCAAAGAGCUUCACAAUCGAUUCAGAUGAGAAAAAACAUAACCAAAAAACCCUUUCACAGGAAACAAGAGUCUACAGCCAUGCUAGCAGUAUAAGGCUGUAUUUAGGCACAGCGGUGCUUUGAGCAAAAUGCUAACAUCAGCAUGCUAACAUGCUUACCAUGACGAUGCUAACGUAAAAUUUACCAUGCAUGUUGGCAGGCUAACAUUUAAUAAUUUGCAUGCAACAAAGUACAGUUGAGGCUGAUGGGAAUGUCAUUAGCUUUGCAGGUAUAUGGUCAUUAACCAAAGUAUUGGACAAAAUGGAAUUUUGACCUGAUGAUGGUGCUACAGGAAAAGUCAGAGGAUCACAAAAGUUAUUACAAUUCAUCCUGAGGAGGGCACGAAUCUCUGUAUCAAAUUUCAUCCAAUCCAUCCACUAGCUGUCGAGACAUUUAACUCAAAACCAUAAAUGUCAACCUCAUGGUGGCGCUAGAGGAAAAGUCAGGGGAUCACCAGUCUUUAUGGUACAUCGUCUGGGAAACAUGAAUGUCUGUACCAAAUUUUAUUGCAAUCCAUCAAAUAGUUGUUGAGAUAUUUUAGUCUGGACCAAAGUGGUGGACCAACCGACCGACCGACUGACCAACAUUUCCAUCCAUAAAGCCAUGCUGCAAGUUGGCUAAUAAAAUUAUUAGUGGGGCUGUUUUUCCAACACUUUCUCAUACACACAACAUAUCUAUACAUACUCAGCCAGUCCUUUGAAAUCAUUUUGUGAAGUCUUUCCUCUCUCCUCAGGUUGUUUCUUUACAGUCGACCUCUCAACAGGAGUCUUCUUUGUUUGUUGUCACACCUCUUCUCAGAGCUGCAGAUCCCAUCAGCUGAUACGUGAUCACUCAGCACAGCUGCAGACUACAGGCCAACAUCCGACCGAGCGCUUCGGCUGAACAUCCACACGGACGAAUGAUGAGCUGCAACAGCAUCAUCACCAACAUCAAAUACAACUAGCGUGCAGGAGGUCAAAGCCCACAAUCAAGAACUCAAGUGAAUAAAAUAAUAACUCUGAUAAUCUUUUUUUUCCACCAGCUGAAGUGAUUGAAAUGCAUACUACAUAAUAAAGUAUAUAAACAAUUUCAUAGUGAUGAAUUAUGAUGAUGAUUAUGGCAAAAAACAAAUAUCUUAUACUGAAGCAGAAACCACCACCACUGAGUGUUCAAGUCAGAGUUUUAAAAUGUAGUUCCUCUAAUUUUCACUAGAUGCUGCUAAAUAAAACUGACUAUUAAUACUACAAAUACAAAGUUACACAGUUUUUGCACAAGUUCAGAUCUCAAGAGAUAAUUUCACUUUUAUAAAUGAUUGUCGAUCUCACUCAGCUGUGGUUUUUGAUGUUCACUCAUCCCAUUUCACCUCCACCUAAUCUCCACUCAUUUUGCAGAUUUCCUCGCUCCAGACAAAGAUGGUGGCAAGUUGAAAUCCCAAACUCCAGGCUUCAAAAUGUCCCUUCAGGAACUUGUCAGGAAACAGACACUACAGAUGGCUUUGUCAGCUGUAUUACCACACAACGGGGUCUUCAUUGACCUGAUCCAUAACAGACCCUUGAAAAAAAGAGACCGGAUCCAAACCCAAGGACAGCUAGAACUGGUCUGAAUAGACCUGAGGAUAAUCCAACCUGAUCCAAACUGCGGUGGAGCUGAACAGACCCGAACAGAGAGGACAGCAACACUGGCAUGAUGCUCCAUCAAUUAACGAGCAGUCGUGGUGGAAAACAGCAGCACUCUCUCAGGUCCCUGGCUGCUCUCGGGGCAGAGAUGCCCCACUAUUGUUGGUUUGGCCCCUCCUCAUCUGUGCCCAACAGGACUCUCAUUUACUGGACCAAAC